RNAcentral lists this unclassified non-coding RNA (328 nucleotides) under Hevea brasiliensis (rubber tree). The record is from RNAcentral. Lineage: Eukaryota; Viridiplantae; Streptophyta; Magnoliopsida; Malpighiales; Euphorbiaceae.
UAUCUUAUCCAAAUUGGCAGAGCGCCCUGGGUUAUAUAUGUGGAAUACACAGAAUGUCUCAGACCAAGAACGUUUUAACGAGCAAGUGAUGAUAACCAUGAACAGAACAGCAAUGAAGGCCGCAGAUUUUCCAAAAGGUGCUAUAAAAUUUGCUGUCAACGAAACAAAUUUUACCACGUCUCAAACACUGUACACCCUCGCGCAGUGUACACCGGACCUAACUGAAUCCGAUUGUCUUCGGUGUCUUCAGACAGCUAUCUUAAGUUUGCCAGAUUGUUGUAGUGGAAAGGACGGAGCAAGAGUAUUGCUCCCGAGCUGUCAUAUUCGG